AGAGGAGAAAGCGCUGCCGGGGCCAAUAACGGCUUGACCUGAAUACAUGCUGUCUGCAGGAGAGGUGAGCACCUAUCAGAUCCCCCUGCUGUCCUUCACCCCUCAGUGCAGUCUUCUGACCAUCGCUGAGGACAGGAAGAAGUCAGCCAAGUUCAUUGCCAUGCAACGCUCUACUGAUCGAGGAGACCAUGAGAAGGGAGUGGGUCACCUGACCAACACCAUUGCUGUGUGUGGUUAACUCCAGCAGACCUCUUCCUGUCUUUUAGAAACGGGCCACUGUCCGCCAGGUGAGGAUGCUCUCCCAUGGAAGGGCUGUUGUGGAAACAAAAUGCCUGAAAGUUGCC
Long non-coding RNA from Coregonus clupeaformis (lake whitefish), 344 nucleotides. RefSeq lists it as uncharacterized. NCBI's taxonomy places the organism in Eukaryota, Metazoa, Chordata, Actinopteri, Salmoniformes, Salmonidae. The record is from RefSeq and is a predicted model, not a curated record. The transcript has 3 exons.